Molecule: long non-coding RNA, 3010 nt
Filed under: Linum usitatissimum (flax)
Lineage: Eukaryota; Viridiplantae; Streptophyta; Magnoliopsida; Malpighiales; Linaceae
Description: long non-coding RNA (LUSI_LNC008325)
Source: RNAcentral
AAACAUCCACGCGUUUUUUUCGAUUCUGAAUAUUCACUUCUCCCUUCUCUGCUAUUGUUCCCUUCAUCAAAAAAUCCCUAGAAUCCUUCGAUUUUUUUGAUUCCAGAGAUUAUCUUGCCGUUUCUUCUUCCGAUCUUCACUCUCUGUCUCUAUCAUUAAUCAUUAUCAACUCAUCUAGUCAUUUUUUCGACAGCCCUAGAUGAUCUCAAUGUUAAUUUGGCGAAAAUCACUGCAUCCAAUUAUCGGGUUUCCCCGAUAUCUCUUCCUUCCUUCUUCUUCUUCAUACAAAGGUUUGUACGGCCUAUAAAAAGUGUGAUUAUGCUCUGCAAUCUAUAUCCCAAAGUCAAAUUAAGCACCAACACAGCAACCCUAAAUCUUUAUCGAUUGCCAUCUUCCUCUGUCUAGCUCUGUUUCGCUUCAUAGUUGGGUAAGGUUUUUGUUUAUUCUUGCUUUCCAGCGUAGAUGUCUAUGUUAUUAAGCUUAUUAGUUAUUAGCUUUGUCGGUUUGUUUCUACAUGAUUUUAGGCCUUGACUAUUGAUCUAUUGCUCAAUCGUGAUGGAGGGAGACGGCAACAUCCAAAACAUUCAGAACCUUAUCCCUGCACCUGCUGGAGGUAACCCCGUCCAUGCUAAUGCUGCUGUUAAUCUUGCCGUUGGUCAACCAGAUCAGGCAAAUAGAGGUCAUUGCAACUUCGUUUUCUAAUGAAGUUUCUAGAAAAGAACUUGCCAUUAUGUUGUCGAUGCAUAAGUAUCCACUGUCUAUAGUGGAUCACCUCUAUUUUCAACGAUUUAUUUGUAUUCUGCAACCGCUGUUCGAAUACCCUUCUAGGAAUACCAUGGAGAAAGAUAUAAUAUCUAAGGAUGCAGACUGCUAAGCAUUAACCAACAAUCCACACGUAGCCUAGUGGUAAAAGGGCGAGUAUUGCAUAUAACUAUUCGGUGGUUUGAGUUUGGUAGUUAGCAGAUUUUAUUUGUCAAAGUGGUUAGAUUGUGUUUUGGCACUAGUGUAUAGCGGCUUCCUCUAAUCUUAUUAUAGGAUCAUAUUUUAUAUUUUAAAAAUGUACAUCAUGAGUUUUUUUUGUAAUAAUAUAUCCAUCAGUAAUAUCACUCAUCGUAACUAUAAUUGUACGAAAGAAUUAAGUUUGGUGGUUCAUAAUUCAUAAAUUUAAUCUCUAACAUAUUCAUAAAUUUCGAGUAAUUUCUAUUAACUUAAAUUUUCUCUUUUAUUAUUUUUUCGAAAACAGUAUUCUCUAAUUUUUUAGUGUUACGUUAACAAUGUAUUUAACUGUACUAGUUUUUUUUUCUGACAAUAAGGUGUACAUAGUUUAUGGCUAAUUCAUUUAAUAAAUUUUAACUCAAUAGCUUUUACUAAAAUUACUGAUAAGUUGACCAAUGGUUUAAAUAUAAAUUAGUUCAUUAUAUAGAAGUAAAUCGGUAAUUAAAAGAUAAUUGAUAACAAAACUAAAUAAUUAAGAUAUGAUCAAUAUAAAAUUUAAGAGAUAAUAAAGAUAUUAAAAAAAGGAAUGAUAAUUAAAAAAUUUCCCUUAAUUAACUAAUCCUAGCUCUAACUAUAAAUAGAUUAUUUAAUACAUAAAUCCUAACUUAAUUGCGUAUCUGCACAAUAACUUUCAAAAAAAUUCGGCCGCUAGCGACGGGCUGUUCCACCAUUCGUUGGUGGUCUGACGAACACAUCAAAUUUUUUUAAGGGAAUCUGACCAACGACGAACACGAACAGACGGUGAGCCUGUCUACACUGAAACGGUUGGCCGCCCGUUUCAAUCUGGGCGAGACGGGUUCGCCUUCCGUUCGUCAACGGCCGGAACAAAGAAAACCUUACCGAAUGGAACGCUUACCUGUUAAAAAGAAGAUGAUCGGAGGAGAUAUGACUGUUGAACUUUCGGAAGAGAUUGUUCUAAGAUGAUCGGAGAAGCUUCAGUUCUUGAGCCGCACCGUCCACUCGUCGGCGUUGAAGGUCUGAUGAAGAUCAGAUGAAGAUGAUGGUAGGGAGAAUAAUAUGUUAGGGUUAAAUAGGAGUUUUAGUUAAUUAUAAGUAAUUAAUUAAAACAAGGGUAUUCGUGUAAUUUCACUGAAGCUAGGACGUUUAACAGCGAUUCAGUGUUUUUAGGGAUCUUAGAGGUCGUUUCAAUUUGAAAUUUAGAAGAAGGUGAUUUAAAAUACUUAGUGAUUUCAUAAAUAUCUUAUUUGUUUUCCAUAAUUGAGAGUGAUUCUAAUAUUUUAUACAAAAAAAGUUCAAUUGCUUUGUAGUUCUAAUAUAAGGCCAUCUACAUCCCAAAAUUUCUUUGGGCUUGUUUGUUAAAGGGGAAGUUUAAUUAAAACCAUGGGAAAUAUUAAAACUCUGGUUUGGUAAGCUGUAAUGGGCCAGAGUUUUUCAAAUACCAAUUUCCUCUGGGCCCAAUUUUCCUCCAAAAUCGGCCAUAUCCAAAUACAUGGUCGCCACCAUGUUUUCGUCAAAACUCAGUGUUUCUUCACAGUUGGCAGACAUUGUCUGUAUUGCCCCUUCACUGUCUGCCAUUAAUUCUGUCGAACAAAACCUCUCAUCUUCUUCCUCUCUGUUUCCCAUCGCCGUCUCCGUCGUUCUUCUUCCUGAAACCCAAAUUCUCCCUCCCAUACGUAGAAGUAAUAGUGCGAUUAAGAACCCAAAUAUUGAUUUCUUCUUCCAGGAUUCAUUUCUUACGGCUGCUAAUUUGUAGUGCUCUUCUUUUUCAGGUUUGGCUCAAACUAGGGAUUCUGGUGAAGAGAUUUUUCUCCACCAACAGAUCUUAUCGGAUCUACCAUUUUGUUCAUGCGAACAGGUGUGUUUUCUCUCCCCAUUUUCAUGCUAACCCUCAAUGUGCAUGGCCUUAAUGUCCCUCUAUGCAUCAAUAUGAAUAGAAACAUGCUCUGGCCACCAUAUGGAACCUGGAAUUUUUUUCAUAGUGGUUUUUAAUGCAUGAACUAAUCUACUGAGUUUCAGAUAACAUGUGUAUAAUAUUUGUAGUUUUGGUCUUAAN